This 253-nucleotide ribosomal RNA is filed under the name uncultured bacterium. RNAcentral's name for it is "partial 16S ribosomal RNA". It matches the Rfam family "Bacterial small subunit ribosomal RNA", at positions 524 to 776 of the family's 1533-position model. The record is from RNAcentral.
UACAGAGGUCUCAACCGUUGUUCGGAUUCAUUGGGCGGAAAGGGUGCGUAGGCGGUCGUGCAAGUCGGAUGUGAAAUCUCAGGGCUCAACCCUGAAACUGCAUUCGAUACUGCGUGGCUAGAGUGCUGGAGAGGAGACUGGAAUUUACGGUGUAGCAGUGAAAUGCGUAGAUAUCGUAAGGAAGACCAGUGGCGAAGGCGAGUCUCUGGACAGCAACUGACGCUGAGGCACGAAGGCCAGGGGAGCAAACGGG